ACGGGGGGGGCCAGCGUUGUUCGGAAUUACUGGGCGUAAAGGGCGCGUAGGCGGCCGGCUCAGUCGGACGUGAAAUCCCUCGGCUCAACCGGGGAACUGCGUCCGAUACUGGUCGGCUUGAAUCCGGGAGAGGGAUGCGGAAUUCCAGGUGUAGCGGUGAAAUGCGUAGAUAUCUGGAGGAACACCGGUGGCGAAGGCGGCAUCCUGGACCGGCAUUGACGCUGAGGCGCGAAAGCCAGGGGAGCAAACG
This 250-nucleotide ribosomal RNA is filed under the name uncultured bacterium. RNAcentral's name for it is "partial 16S ribosomal RNA". It matches the Rfam family "Bacterial small subunit ribosomal RNA", at positions 525 to 774 of the family's 1533-position model. The record is from RNAcentral.